RNAcentral lists this ribosomal RNA (459 nucleotides) under uncultured bacterium. RNAcentral describes it as "partial 16S ribosomal RNA". It matches the Rfam family "Bacterial small subunit ribosomal RNA", at positions 29 to 507 of the family's 1533-position model. The record is from RNAcentral.
AGCGAACGCUGGCGGCAGGCCUAACACAUGCAAGUCGAACGAACCCGUCCGGGUUUUUGGCUGGCGGGUGAGUAAGCCGAGGGGACAUGCACUUAUGUGCGGAAUAACCCACAGAAAGUGGUACUAAUACGGAAUGGGCCCUUCAGCGGCAAGAGUAAUCGCCUUUCGAGGGGUCCGCAUCUGAUUAGCUGAGUGGUUGAGGUAAUGGCUCACCAAGGCGGGGAUGAGUAGCUGACCUGAGAAAGUGAUCAGCCACAUCGGGACUGAGACACGGCCCAAACUCCUGCGGGAGGCAGCAGUAGGGAAUCUUCCGCAAUGGACGCAAGUCUGACGGAGCAACGCCGCGUGAGUGAAGAAGGUGUUCGGAUCGUAAAACUCUGUUGUUAGAGAAGAACAAGUGCUAUAGUAACUGUUAGCGCCUUGACGGUAUCUAACCAGAAAGCCACGGCUAACUACGUG